RNAcentral lists this ribosomal RNA (531 nucleotides) under Heterobathmia pseuderiocrania (southern beech moth). RNAcentral's name for it is "SSU rRNA". It matches the Rfam family "Eukaryotic small subunit ribosomal RNA", at positions 604 to 1103 of the family's 1831-position model. The record is from RNAcentral. Lineage: Eukaryota; Metazoa; Arthropoda; Insecta; Lepidoptera; Heterobathmiidae.
UACUAAAAUUGUUGCGGUUAAAAAGCUCGAUGUUGCAUUUGUGCGCCGCGCUGUCGGUUGCACCGCUCGCGCGUGAUACUGACACGUUUGCGGAGCAUAUCGUCGGUGAGCCUUCGGUAAAACGGAGGUUCAAUAUCAAAAUCCUAUCGCGGUGCUCUUCAGUGAGUGUNNNGGUGGGCCGACAAUUUNCUUUGAACAAAUUAGAGUGCUUAAGCGGGCUCAAAAUGCUGCUUGUAUGUCUAGUGCAUGGAAUAAUAGAUAUGAUCUCGGUUCUAUUUUGUUGGUUUUCGGAACUCCGAGGUAAUGAUUAAUAGGGAUAACUGGGGGCAUUCGUAUUGCGACGUUAGAGGUGAAAUUCUUGGAUCGUCGCAAGACGGACAUCAGCGAAAGCAUUUGCCAAAGGUGUUUUCAUCAAUCAAGAACGAAAGUUAGAGGUUCGAAGGCGAUUAGAUACCGCCCUAGUUCUAACCAUAAAUGAUGCCAGCCAGCGAUCNGCCGAUGUUACUACAAUGGCUCGGCGGGCASSUUCCG